CAGCCGCCGCGGUAAUACGAGGGGAGCCAGCGUUAUUCGGAAUUACUGGGCGUAAAGCGCACGUAGGCGGCUUUGUAAGUUAGAGGUGAAAGCCCAGAGCUCAACUCUGGAAUUGCCUUUAAGACUGCAUCGCUUGAAUCCAGGAGAGGUGAGUGGAAUUCCGAGUGUAGAGGUGAAAUUCGUAGAUAUUCGGAAGAACACCAGUGGCGAAGGCGGCUCACUGGACUGGUAUUGACGCUGAGGUGCGAAAGCGUGGGGAGCAAACAGGAUUAGAUACCCCCGUAGUCCCUGUCUCUUAUAC
RNAcentral lists this ribosomal RNA (301 nucleotides) under uncultured bacterium. RNAcentral describes it as "partial 16S ribosomal RNA". It matches the Rfam family "Bacterial small subunit ribosomal RNA", at positions 509 to 807 of the family's 1533-position model. The record is from RNAcentral.